This 409-nucleotide ribosomal RNA is filed under the name Cobetia sp. B1B. RNAcentral's name for it is "bacterial SSU rRNA". It matches the Rfam family "Bacterial small subunit ribosomal RNA", at positions 808 to 1216 of the family's 1533-position model. Lineage: Bacteria; Pseudomonadati; Pseudomonadota; Gammaproteobacteria; Oceanospirillales; Halomonadaceae. The record is from RNAcentral.
GAUGUCAACUAGCCGUUGGGUCCCUUGAGGACUUAGUGGCGCAGCUAACGCAAUAAGUUGACCGCCUGGGGAGUACGGCCGCAAGGUUAAAACUCAAAUGAAUUGACGGGGGCCCGCACAAGCGGUGGAGCAUGUGGUUUAAUUCGAUGCAACGCGAAGAACCUUACCUACCCUUGACAUCCAGAGGACUUUCCAGAGAUGGAUUGGUGCCUUCGGGAACUCUGAGACAGGUGCUGCAUGGCUGUCGUCAGCUCGUGUUGUGAAAUGUUGGGUUAAGUCCCGUAACGAGCGCAACCCCUAUCCUUAUUUGCCAGCGAGUAAUGUCGGGAACUCUAAGGAGACUGCCGGUGACAAACCGGAGGAAGGUGGGGACGACGUCAAGUCAUCAUGGCCCUUACGGGUAGGGCUA